This 447-nucleotide ribosomal RNA is filed under the name uncultured bacterium. RNAcentral describes it as "partial 16S ribosomal RNA". It matches the Rfam family "Bacterial small subunit ribosomal RNA", at positions 30 to 523 of the family's 1533-position model. The record is from RNAcentral.
AUUGAACGCUGGCGGCAGGCUUAACACAUGCAAGUCGAACGCCCCGCAAGGGGAGUGGCAGACGGGUGAGUAACACGUGGGAACGUACCCUUUGGUUCGGAAUAACUCAGGGAAACUUGAGCUAAUACCGGAUAUGCCCUUAUGGGGAAAGAUUUAUCGCCGAAGGAUCGGCCCGCGUCCGAUUAGCUAGUUGGUGAGGUAACGGCUCACCAAGGCGACGAUCGGUAGCUGGUCUGAGAGGAUGAUCAGCCACACUGGGACUGAGACACGGCCCAGACUCCUACGGGAGGCAGCAGUGGGGAAUAUUGGACAAUGGGGGCAACCCUGAUCCAGCCAUGCCGCGUGAGUGAUGAAGGCCCUAGGGUUGUAUAGCUCUUUCGGCGGGGACGAUAAUGACGGUACCCGCAGAAGAAGCCCCGGCUAACUUCGUGCCAGCCGCCGCGGUAA